UACGUAGCGGUCGAUAGAGCUUCCGACCCAGGUUAUUCGGUUUAGUUUCUACCCUUACUGUCCUGUUGAUAUAGCUUAGAUAGUUUAUAUGGUUCAGUUUUUGGUAUUUCAGUUAAUUAUCAUAUUUUGAUUUGGCUUUAUGAAUGUAAUAAAAAAAGGAUUCGUGGUUUUCGUAAUUAAAAGCUUUUCUACCCCUCGUUGUAGCGUUUUUAAAGAAUAAAGGUUUUCGUGUAGGAAACAGUUUUCAAAAGAAUUUUCUAUAGAUUUAUGUUUAAAUAUUGAAUGUAUAACUGUGAUGUGAAUGGUGAAUGAAUGAUUGCAUAGUCAUU
This 329-nucleotide long non-coding RNA is filed under the name Ananas comosus (pineapple). RNAcentral's name for it is "long non-coding RNA (ACOM_LNC005704)". Lineage: Eukaryota; Viridiplantae; Streptophyta; Magnoliopsida; Poales; Bromeliaceae. The record is from RNAcentral.